This is a long non-coding RNA of Ixodes scapularis (black-legged tick), 584 nucleotides long. RefSeq lists it as uncharacterized. The transcript has 3 exons. The record is from RefSeq and is a predicted model, not a curated record. NCBI's taxonomy places the organism in Eukaryota, Metazoa, Arthropoda, Arachnida, Ixodida, Ixodidae.
CCACUUCGCGCUGCCAAACCACCAAACCUGCUUGCAGGCCUUUGGAACGCUCGGCUGGUUGGAUCCUCAAGCCCAUACGACUGCAACGCCGCCGCAUAUAUCCGGGACCUUUCUACGCUCACCGCUCACAGCAAUGCGUGGUGCGCGUCAGUGCCCGAUCCCACUACCAGUUCCUAGUAUGCGCCGCCUUUUCCACCGCUUGCUGGCAAGUAUGUCGAUGACCGAAGAAGUCUCAAGACCUCCAUCUGUAGCAAGUGAUCCAGACACCGACGCUUUAGAAGAGAAGAGACGGGAGAUAACCAAGACCCACAUCCUGAUGGAGCUCCAAUGAACUUCGCCAUUUGCUGAUGAGAGGACAGAGAUUGCGGCCCUGCUGAUGGCCUGCGUGAUGCGCCACAAAGUUAGCGAUCAAGGUAUAGCAGAUUUGCUGGAUAUGCAAAAUGUAAUCACCCCAGGAAAGGUAUGAUCAAACUACCUACUUUUAAAGGCUUUGGGGGCUGACGUGCCUGGUGCACAGAAGCACUUCUACUGCCUCACUUGUUUGGGGUGCUUGGGAAAAGCAAACUGUGAGAGUCAGGCUCGCU